This 132-nucleotide small nucleolar RNA is filed under the name Propithecus coquereli (Coquerel's sifaka). Lineage: Eukaryota; Metazoa; Chordata; Mammalia; Primates; Indriidae. The record is from RNAcentral.
GGCCUCUCUCCCAUAGGGUUGUAGGGGGUCCCUUUUCUUCUCAUCCAAGAAUGAAAGCCACUAUCAGGCCUGGAAGAUCAUUGUCAGGAAUGCCACAAUCUGGGAAGCCUUAUUUUCCUAAAUCAGUCAUUU